GGAUAUUUAGAGACAGCAUAAGAUGCCAUGAGCAACUUAAAGAUGUUUUUAAUGUAGUGACUACAUAGAUUAAUAAAAAAAAAAGCUAUGUCAGAUCAAAUCGUGAUCAACCAGAGGAGUUGAUUGAUUAUAGUACAAUUUUGUAUCACAUAGCAAGAUGUUGGUAUUCCUGUACAACUUGAUUCCUUCAUUGAGUAGAAUAUAUAAGGGGUUGAAUACUUCUAUCUGAAAUUCUUUAAGGGAUUGAUGGACAUACUUUGUUUGAAAAAAAGGCUGGGGCAUGCAUCAUGAAAUGUGUUGUUACACAAGUCUGUGUUGUUACAACUAUCUCCGGAGACUGUAUUGUGCAAAGAACGAUGAGGACUCUGGAAAGUAUGUGCAAAAACCGGUUGCAAAAUCAUCGUAGCAUGGGCCUGCAAGUGUUAGCCAGUUAGUAACCUAGCAAUUUAUAGGCAGUGUUCUGCAAUUUGUGCUCGACUUACAAUCAUGUACGCGAAACCGGGAAUCGGCAAGCUUCACAGUCCGCUGGUAGGACACAGUCGAUGCCAACUGUUAUUGACAAAUUCAAGGCAGGAGCAGCACGCCAGACAGCUGGAGCCUGAGCAGCUUUUGUUGAAGUUUCCUUUUAUCUAGAAUGGAGGAGUGAAACGAGCUUGCCUCAGUCGGGAUUACUUGGCUUUUCUGUCGAAUGAUUCUUUCCAGGCUGCAUGAAAGUAGUGUCGCACGUGUGUUCACAUAAGUUCAUAUGAAUUCUCACACCUUUGAUCGAGAAUAUUUCAUGAGAUUGAAUUAAUAUAUGAACUGUAUGUGGAUAUUCUUACAGAAAAGGCUGCUUGUACCGAAUCCACAAUGGCUAGCCGAAAAUUACAAGAGAAUACAUCCAAACUAGUUCUACUUGCCAUGUAAAAUUAAGUCGCAAUUGCAGGUGAUUUGAAUUAAUCUACACCCAUCAACGCCUUUAAUUCAUCAAGCCACCGUCUCACUCUCACUCUUAAGUCUGCUCCACCAGCCACUCUUCUUUAUCAUUCGCUAAGCUGCCCUCUUUGUCGUUGCCUUAACCCCUUACCAUUCCUCAAUUAUGCAACAUAUUAUUCCUCCAGUGUUAAGCACUUCCCAACUCUGUUUCAGAAGUAAAAAGAACACAACCCUUAGCCAUCCAUGCAGUCGCUUGUUUAUGGACCAUGUUUAGUCUUUCGACAAGCCUAAGGGGGCGAUCUUGCCCCACCACGCACUCAGUGGAUCUCAGUCUCCUCAGCAACAGUGGUCAAGGGAAUUACCAGCUCUGAUGACGCUGAAUACCUGCUUAUAACGCUGAAUACCUGCUUAUAACGCUGAAUGCAGGUCACAUAGUCAGUACUGUUAGUCUAGUGCUCAAUGUCAUGCAGUUGCUUCUGGCAGUCAGUCCAGGCGGUUGCCCUACCAGGGUUAUACCCGUCAGCACAACGCUCUCUGCAGACGUAUUUCUACACCCCUUUCGCAGUUGGUACAGGGAAUCCUAGACUGCAAAAAUCAAGACAUGAGUGCAAGGUUUGUGGAACAGUGAAAUGCGGGACACUCCAACAACUUGAAUAGUAGAGCGACAGUUUGUAGAGCUCUACAAGACAAGACAUGCAGAUGCUAAAUAGGGUUUGAUACUCGUAUCCUUCGAGUAGGGGAAACCGCACGGAUGUAAUGCCCUAAGAAAUCUCUUGCUGGAUUUGAAUCCUCUAAAUGCGUACCAAGCUCCUUCUCUAGUAAUUUGAAAAAGAAAAAGAAAACUCAUGCGCGCAGCAUCCCGCCAUUCAAACGUUUCAAGCUAGUUUGACUAUUCAAACAAAGGCGACGUUCCCAGGUAUAUCACCAAGAAUUUGCGCAAGUGCGCGAUCCCCUUCAUCCCAACUUGAUUCACCCAGUACUAAAGAAAAUCAUGUCACGCUUACUGCCCCAAGCUAAGUUGUCUGUAAUGAUAGAAUCAAGCGAAGUCUCGGGAGGAACCAACCAUCAGUCACCUCACUGCUCUUAGGGUUCUGAAAAACAAACACUUCCACUUCACAUCACCCACUCUUCAGCUUGCAAGGUUACAAUCAAUGUCGACAAUCGGCGUUCUAGGUUUACGUUUGCAGAGAGCUUCGUAUGACACAAAGCGAUUACUUUACUUAGGAUUCGAAUAACGAACAAAGAGAUUAUGCUCUCUCAUAGGUAGCACAGAGCAGUGGAUUAUGCAGUACAAUUUAUGAUCUAUUACCCGUUUCAGUACGAGGCCAUGAGCUCUCAGCCAAAUAAUGUCCACAUUGCCAUUGGGCUUUCAGAAUAGCGUAUAUUGGGUUUGACCCGUUCGUCACCGAGCUCAUGCCUCGCAAAAUUUUGGCAUUCAGGGCUACAGCGACAAAUGAACAUUGAAGUAUCGGGAGGAUCUUGAACUAGGAGGAGCGGUCAGAUGUU
This 2421-nucleotide long non-coding RNA is filed under the name Physcomitrium patens. RNAcentral's name for it is "long non-coding RNA (PPAT_LNC008045)". The record is from RNAcentral. Lineage: Eukaryota; Viridiplantae; Streptophyta; Bryopsida; Funariales; Funariaceae.